Molecule: small nuclear RNA, 104 nt
Organism: Saimiri boliviensis boliviensis (Bolivian squirrel monkey)
Lineage: Eukaryota; Metazoa; Chordata; Mammalia; Primates; Cebidae
Source: Ensembl
AUGUUCACUUUGGAAGCAGAUAUGUUAACAUCGGAGUGAUACGGAGAUUAACGUGGCCCCUGUCCAAGGAUGACAUGCAAAUCUCUGAAGCGUUCCAUUAAAAA